AGGUGGCAAGCGUUAUCCGGAAUUAUUGGGCGUAAAGGGAGCGUAGGCGGUUUAUUAAGUUUAUGGUUAAAGUUCGGGGCUCAACCCCGUGAUGCCAUAGAAACUGGUAGACUUGAGUACAGGAGAGGUUAGUGGAAUUCCAUGUGUAGCGGUAAAAUGCGUAGAUAUAUGGAGGAACACCAGUGGCGAAGGCGGCUAACUGGCCUGUAACUGACGCUGAGGCUCGAAAGCGUGGGGAGCAA
RNAcentral lists this ribosomal RNA (242 nucleotides) under uncultured bacterium. Its description in RNAcentral is "partial 16S ribosomal RNA". It matches the Rfam family "Bacterial small subunit ribosomal RNA", at positions 529 to 771 of the family's 1533-position model. The record is from RNAcentral.